UGUGUAGGCGGGCCAGUAAGUCUGAGGUGAAAUCCCACGGCUCAACCGUGGAACUGCCUUAGAUACUGUUGGUCUUGAGUCCUGGAGAGGUCAUCGGAAUUCGUGGUGUAGCGGUGAAAUGCGUAGAUAUCACGAGGAACACCUGUUGCGAAGGUUGGUGGCUGGACAGGAACUGACGCUGAGGCACGAAAGCGUGGGGAGCAAACAGGAUUAGAUACCCUGGUAGUCC
This 229-nucleotide ribosomal RNA is filed under the name uncultured bacterium. RNAcentral describes it as "partial 16S ribosomal RNA". It matches the Rfam family "Bacterial small subunit ribosomal RNA", at positions 568 to 796 of the family's 1533-position model. The record is from RNAcentral.